AGAUUGAACGCUGGCGGCAUGCCUUACACAUGCAAGUCGAACGGCAGCGCGGGAGCAAUCCUGGCGGCGAGUGGCGAACGGGUGAGUAAUAUAUCGGAACGUGCCUAGUAGUGGGGGAUAGCCCGGCGAAAGCCGGAUUAAUACCGCAUACGACCUGAGGGUGAAAGCGGGGGAUCGCAAGACCUCGCGCUACUGGAGCGGCCGAUAUCAGAUUAGCUAGUUGGUGGGUAAAGGCCUACCAAGGCAACGAUCUGUAGUUGGUCUGAGAGGACGACCAGCCACACUGGGACUGAGACACGGCCCAGACUCCUACGGGAGCAGCAGUGGGGAAUAUUGCACAAUGGGCGAAAGCCUGAUGCAGCGACGCCGCGUGAGGGAUGACGGCCGUUCGGGUGUAA
This 398-nucleotide ribosomal RNA is filed under the name uncultured soil bacterium. Its description in RNAcentral is "bacterial SSU rRNA". It matches the Rfam family "Bacterial small subunit ribosomal RNA", at positions 26 to 428 of the family's 1533-position model. The record is from RNAcentral.